This 473-nucleotide ribosomal RNA is filed under the name uncultured bacterium. RNAcentral describes it as "bacterial SSU rRNA". It matches the Rfam family "Bacterial small subunit ribosomal RNA", at positions 43 to 521 of the family's 1533-position model. The record is from RNAcentral.
CAGGCCUAACACAUGCAAGUCGAGCGAGAAAGGGGAAACCCCGGUAAAGCGGCGCACGGGUGAGUAACACGUAGGUAAUCUACCCCCAGGUGGUGGAUAACCUUCCGAAAGGAGGGCUAAUACAGCAUAAGACCACGUCUUCGCAAGGAGAUGAGGUCAAAGCCGGCCUCUUCAUGAAAGCUGGCGCCGAGGGAUGAGCCUGCGGCCCAUCACGGUAGUUGGUAGGAUAAUGGCCUACCAAGCCUGCGAUCGGUCGCUGGUCUGAGAGGACGACCAGCCACACUGGGACUGAGACACGGCCCAGACUCCUACGGGAGGCAGCAGUGGGGAAUAUUGGGCAAUGGGCGAAAGCCUGACCCAGCAAUGCCGCGUGGGUGAAGAAGGUCUUCGGAUUGUAAAGCCCUUUCGGCGGGGACGAUGAUGACGUUAUCCGCAGAAGAAGCCCCGGCUAACUUCGUGCCAGCAGCCGCGGU